This 760-nucleotide ribosomal RNA is filed under the name Ceroplastes pseudoceriferus. RNAcentral's name for it is "partial large subunit ribosomal RNA". Lineage: Eukaryota; Metazoa; Arthropoda; Insecta; Hemiptera; Coccidae. The record is from RNAcentral.
CAGUACGUGAAACCGUUCGGGGGUAAACGGACAGAGCCCGUGAAUCCGGACGAGCGGAAUUCAGGAUGGACGGCGGCGCCUUUCAGCGGCGUCGUAUUUCGUCGAUUCGAUUUUUCCGCCGUCGACCCGUCAGCGGGUGCGGACGUCGCGACCCGUUCGUCGUCGGUCUUACGAGGCGCGUUUCGAGUUCUGCGUGAUCUUUCGCGCGCGCGUCUCUCGCGUGCGCGUUGUCGCGUGGAGGGCGCGUCAAGCGGGCCGGCGUCGCGGACGGUAGACGAAUUGCGAGCGGGUAAUCGACGCGGCCGAUCGACGUACGCGUGUGUAUGCGCGCGUGCGUUGGGCGCCGCGUCGACGCCGGUCAGCGACGACUCUUCGGGCCUCUUUCCGACCCGUCUUGAAACACGGACCAAGGAGUCUAACGUGCGCGCGAGUCGCGGGGUACCUCGAGUCGCGCUCGUUAUUCGCGACUCGGCACGAUACGAAACCCGUGUACGUACGUUGUGCGAAGGCGUAAUGAAAGUGAAAGGCGUCGCGCGUUUUUUUUCGCGCGCCGCCGGGGAAGACGGUGUUCCGAGUACACGUUCUUCGGCGUGCCGCGCUCUCACGCGCGCGGUUCGUUCCGAGGCCGGACGCCCGCAUUCCCGGGGCGUCUCGCCGAUCCGUCGGCGGUCGCGGACGACGGUUUCGCGUCGCCGUCCGUCCGCCGACGAAUCGAGGCGCACCUAUAGCGUGCACGUUGGUACCCGAAAGAUGGUGAACU